CUCGUAGGCGGUUUGUUAAGUCGGAUGUGAAAGCCCCGGGCUCAACCUGGGAACUGCAUUCGAUACUGGCAAACUAGAGUAUAGAAGAGGCAAGUGGAAUUCCGGGUGUAGCGGUGAAAUGCGUAGAUAUCCGGAGGAACAUCAGUGGCGAAGGCGACUUGCUGGUCUAAUACUGACGCUGAGGAGCGAAAGCGUGGGGAGCAAACG
RNAcentral lists this ribosomal RNA (207 nucleotides) under uncultured bacterium. RNAcentral's name for it is "partial 16S ribosomal RNA". It matches the Rfam family "Bacterial small subunit ribosomal RNA", at positions 568 to 774 of the family's 1533-position model. The record is from RNAcentral.